RNAcentral lists this ribosomal RNA (251 nucleotides) under uncultured bacterium. RNAcentral's name for it is "partial 16S ribosomal RNA". It matches the Rfam family "Bacterial small subunit ribosomal RNA", at positions 82 to 339 of the family's 1533-position model. The record is from RNAcentral.
AAGGAUUAGUAAAGUGGCGUCCGGGUGAGUAACACGUGGAUAAUCUGCCCUUUGGUGAGGAAUACCCUCGAGAAAUCGAGGUUAAUACUGCAUAAUCCGGAAACGGGAAAGGUGGCCUCUUUGCUACCGCCGAAGGAUGAGUCUGCGGCCUAUUAGUUAGUUGGUGGGGUAAAGGCCUACCAAGACGAAGAUGGGUAGCCGGCCUGAGAGGGUGUACGGCCACAAUGGAACUGACACACGGUCCAUACUCC